UCUGAAUCCCCUAGAGAUAGGGGCGGCCUUCGGGACAGAGGAGACAGGUGGUGCAUGGUUGUCGUCAGCUCGUGUCGUGAGAUGUUGGGUUAAGUCCCGCAACGAGCGCAACCCUUGAUCUUAGUUGCCAGCACUUCGGGUGGGCACUCUAGGAUGACUGCCGGUGACAAACCGGAGGAAGGUGGGGAUGACGUCAAAUCAUCAUGCCCCUUAUGACCUGGGCUACACACGUACUACAAUGGUCGGUACAACGGGAAGCGAAGGAGCGAUCUGGAGCGAAUCCUUAUAAGCCGAUCUCGGUUCGGAUUGCAGGCUGCAACUCGCCUGCAUGAAGUCGGAAUUGCUAGUAAUCGCGGAUCAGCAUGCCGCGGUGAAUACGUUCCCGGGUCUUGUACACACCGCCCGUCACACCACGAGAGUUUACAACACCCGAAGUCGGUGGGGUAACCCGCAAGGGAGCCAACCGCCGAAGGUGGGGUAGAUGAUUGGGGUGAAGUCGUAACAAGGUAAGCGUAGUGCU
Molecule: ribosomal RNA, 520 nt
Filed under: uncultured bacterium
Lineage: Bacteria
Description: bacterial SSU rRNA
Rfam family: Bacterial small subunit ribosomal RNA
Source: RNAcentral